RNAcentral lists this long non-coding RNA (676 nucleotides) under Malus domestica (apple). RNAcentral describes it as "long non-coding RNA (MDOM_LNC009087)". The record is from RNAcentral. Lineage: Eukaryota; Viridiplantae; Streptophyta; Magnoliopsida; Rosales; Rosaceae.
GAAUUGAAAUCCGAUUAUCUAGAAUUGAAGUAGAAAUGAUGUUAGAUAUCAUAUGAUACUUGUGUUACCGGUUAAAGAUCAGCUCAUUGCCCCUUUGACAUGGACCUAUUUAAAACAAGAUACCUGUUAUUCUACUAAAAGAAAGAGAAAAAGAAGGCUGAAAUUUUCUAAACCGAAUAAAAAAAAAUGUAUAGAAACCGAAAAUUACUGAACUUUUCGGUUCAAUGUUCAAAAUCGAACUGAAAUUAUUAGUGUAUUUGAAUGAGAUUAAUCUCAACUAUUGGUUCAUAAAGGAAAACUCAUUCAGUCAUAAAGAUAAACUCAUUCUUUGUAUUCAAUAUGCCUUAAUUAAAAACAUGAUAUUGGUUCAUAUAGACAAACUCAUUUAGUCAUUUUCGCAUUUAGUCAUGAAGAGAAACUCAUUCUUGGUAUUCAAUAUGCCUUAAUUAAAAACGUAAUACGGCCUAUUUAUUUAUUCCUUGUCAAUUUUAUACGUAUGAAUCUAAGUUGAAGUUCCAAAUAGAACUCUAGGUGAAAUACCACUUCCAUUACCCCCAUCAACUCAUCCAACUCCUCAACAAUGUCCACCUCCACGUUCUACAACUAGUUCAACUUCAAGAGGAAGGGAUCAAGCUUCUACAAGGGUAAAGGUGGCAAAUCAAACCAUUGGGUUUAG